AAGUCGUAACAAGGUUUCCGUAGGUGAACCUGCGGAAGGAUCAUCAAAGAUAAUUGGGGGGUCUUUAUUAGACCACAUUCCAUGAUUCCCAACAAAGCGAGUUGUAGGAUUGAGGAUUGACUGAGUUGAGUGGAUGGAGCAAGAAACAAAACUUUCAACAACGGAUCUCUUGGCUCUCA
This 179-nucleotide unclassified non-coding RNA is filed under the name fungal sp. RNAcentral's name for it is "partial internal transcribed spacer region". The stretch from base 1 to 46 matches the Rfam family "Eukaryotic small subunit ribosomal RNA", at positions 1786 to 1831 of the family's 1831-position model. Lineage: Eukaryota; Fungi. The record is from RNAcentral.